RNAcentral lists this unclassified non-coding RNA (664 nucleotides) under Hevea brasiliensis (rubber tree). Lineage: Eukaryota; Viridiplantae; Streptophyta; Magnoliopsida; Malpighiales; Euphorbiaceae. The record is from RNAcentral.
GGAAGGUCUUGAGUGAUGUGUCAAAAGCAUGUCCUGAUGAAUUGAUUGAUAAUAACAGUAGUUGUGGUCACAAUAUUCAGCCUCUAGACAGACAUCAUUCAAAUGAAGUGGGUAACCAUGAUGUUGAAGAUAACUCUUGUACCACUGAUGCAGCUGGGGCUUCUUCAGAUACACCACAGGUAAAAACUGAUGAUUGUAAACACUGGGCAAGUCAUUUUGCUGGUGUUGGCAUUGACAGUGGGCAUGAUUUUGUGAUGGAGCCAUCUAAUGGUAAAGAAUGGGAUAUGGGAGGGUACUUGAGCUGUCCUAAGAAUGAAGUUGAUUUGUUACCAACUUGCUCUAUGAUUGAGGAAGUGUUUGGAGACGAAGCCUGGAGUUCCAAGCACAGAGAUGGUCACAGUUUAAGCAAGCAUUGACCUGUUGCAUAUGAUACCCGUUUAUUUUUUGCCGUUGGAUCAUCCUUGGAACACUUCUUGCAAAAGUGAGAUCCAUUUUUACUUGUAUAUUAUUUAGUGGUGAAAGGACAGAGCAUGUUAGGGAUAAAAGUUGAGAUUUUCGACCUUGCUCUUGGUUGUUAGUAGGAAGCUGUUUUGAGGUAGGCGGUUAGGAUUAAUUUAUAUGUAAAUUAUAUGGCCGAGUUGAGCCAUCUUUCGACAAAUGAAAA